GUUUCUGGUUUGAAAUGGAACAUCCAUGAAUGGGUAUGUUGUUGGUUUUGGUAAAAGAAGGCAUUGGACGAUGCUACAAUAUAAUCCCAAUAAUUAAAAUGUUGGGGGUCAUAAUUUUGUGGGAACUUUUUGAAGUCACAGGGAUUACUUCCCCAUGCGGCAGGUGUUAAAACAGAAAGGAUUUGUACCGUAGAAUGUGUAUAAGCAUCUAUGUUUUGAAACUUGUAGUGCUUAACAGCUAUAGAUU
Molecule: long non-coding RNA, 247 nt
Filed under: Elaeis guineensis (African oil palm)
Lineage: Eukaryota; Viridiplantae; Streptophyta; Magnoliopsida; Arecales; Arecaceae
Description: long non-coding RNA (EGUI_LNC030004)
Source: RNAcentral